Non-coding RNA from Ictidomys tridecemlineatus (thirteen-lined ground squirrel), 374 nucleotides. The record is from RefSeq and is a predicted model, not a curated record. NCBI's taxonomy places the organism in Eukaryota, Metazoa, Chordata, Mammalia, Rodentia, Sciuridae.
AGAAGUGAAUCUCCAGGAGAAGCUACCGCUCCCCUUCCCAUCCGACCCCUGGCCCCAAACAAAGGAAACCGGAAGUGGAGAGGGUGGAGUUGGCCAGAUCCGCCAUCAGGCUUUUCAGACCUUCUGGACUUCCUGGCCACCAGGAGGCCCUUCCAGGUACCUCUCACCAUCACCCUGGAGAAUAGGGGAUCCACAGUGGCCGAAACGUGAGGCUAAUAUCUGAGAUCCAACUUGUGCCAGAUUCUUAAGGAUCCUUUAUCCAUCCCUAGGACUCUGAUAUCCCGGAAGACUAUUGAUCAGUUAUUUUGCUGAAUGUCUCCCAAUUUGGGCCAUUUUGCUAUUCUCAGGCUUCUGCUUCGGACAGCAAGAAGGUA